CUACGGGUGGCAGCAGUGGGGAAUCUUAGACAAUGGGGGAAACCCUGAUCUAGCCAUGCCGCGUGAGCGACGACGGCCCUAGGGUUGUAAAGCUCUUUCAGCAGGGAAGAUAAUGACGGUACCUGCAGAAGAAGUCCCGGCUAACUCCGUGCCAGCAGCCGCGGUAAUACGGAGGGGACUAGCGUUGUUCGGAAUUACUGGGCGUAAAGCGCGCGUAGGCGGAUUGUUAAGUCGGGGGUGGAAUCCCGGGGCUCAACCCCGGAACUGCCCUCGAUACUGGCAGUCUUGAGUUCGAGAGAGGUGAGUGGAAUUCCGAGUGUAGAGGUGAAAUUCGUAGAUAUUCGGAGGAACACCAGUGGCGAAGGCGGCUCACUGGCUCGAUACUGACGCUGAGGUGCGAAAGCGUGGGGAGCAAACAGGAUUAGAUACCCCAGUAGUC
RNAcentral lists this ribosomal RNA (439 nucleotides) under uncultured bacterium. RNAcentral describes it as "partial 16S ribosomal RNA". It matches the Rfam family "Bacterial small subunit ribosomal RNA", at positions 339 to 795 of the family's 1533-position model. The record is from RNAcentral.